GUCUACAUCCAGGCCACCCUGAACCAGCCUGAUGUCUGAUCUCGGAAGCCAAGCAGGGUCAGGCCUGGUUAGCAUUUGGAUGGGAGACCACCUAGGAAGACCAGAUGCUGUAGGCA
RNAcentral lists this ribosomal RNA (116 nucleotides) under Pteropus alecto (black flying fox). Lineage: Eukaryota; Metazoa; Chordata; Mammalia; Chiroptera; Pteropodidae. The record is from RNAcentral.